This 140-nucleotide small nucleolar RNA is filed under the name Acanthochromis polyacanthus (spiny chromis). Its description in RNAcentral is "Small nucleolar RNA SNORA57 (ENSAPOG00000023851.1)". It matches the Rfam family "Small nucleolar RNA SNORA57". From Rfam's summary of the family: U99 belongs to the H/ACA class of snoRNAs which are thought to guide the sites of modification of uridines to pseudouridines, the target for this family is unknown. Lineage: Eukaryota; Metazoa; Chordata; Actinopteri; Pomacentridae. The record is from Rfam by way of RNAcentral.
CCUCCAUUUCUUGGCAUACAUGUAGUUGUUUAGUACUCAUGUGUGUUAUGUACGGAGGAAAAACAAAUGCAGCGCUAUGUCUUCGGUGCCGGUGUGUGUUCCAUCGUCUGCCGGUUCUAUCCUCAAUCGCUGUUACAUUC